Oncorhynchus keta (chum salmon) is the source of this 359-nucleotide long non-coding RNA. RefSeq lists it as uncharacterized. NCBI's taxonomy places the organism in Eukaryota, Metazoa, Chordata, Actinopteri, Salmoniformes, Salmonidae. The record is from RefSeq and is a predicted model, not a curated record. The transcript has 3 exons.
AGAGGUUUGACAUGUCUGGGGGUCCUGAGGAGAGGUUUGACAUGUCUGGGGGUCCUGAGGAGAGGUUUGACAUGUCUGGGUGUCCUGGAUGACAGGUUUGACAUGUCUGGGGGUCCUGGGGAGAGGUUUGACAUGUCUGGGGGUCUUGAGGAGAGGUUUGACAUGUCUGGGCGUCCUGGGGAGAGGUUUGACAUGUCUGGGGGUCCUGAGGAGAGGUUUGACAUGUCUGGGGGUCCCGAGGAGAGGUUUGACAUGUCUGGGGGUCCCAGAGAAGAGGUGUGACAUGUCUGGGAGUCCCAGAGAAGAGGUUUGACAUGUCUGGGGGUCCCAGAGAAGAGAUUUGACACGUCUGGGGGUCC